This 415-nucleotide unclassified non-coding RNA is filed under the name Hevea brasiliensis (rubber tree). The record is from RNAcentral. Lineage: Eukaryota; Viridiplantae; Streptophyta; Magnoliopsida; Malpighiales; Euphorbiaceae.
GGUAAAUGGAGUGCAAAUAAGAUCCACUGGCCCAACUAUCAUUUUCCAUCAUAGAAAAGCUUUGAUAACAAGACUUACAGAAUCCUCCUCAGAAGAUUCACAAUAUAUUAUAAAUCAACAAGAAAGCCAACCCUUAACAUCCCACAUUCCUUUUUUCAUUCUUGGAUAAAUGGACAGCAUAAAUAGCAUGGAAUAGGGCUAGAAAUUCAAAAGUAGUGGUUUUAACAGCCAACAACUUAUGAACACAAAAAAAUUAUUAAGAGAUAGCUAGUGCCACAUUGAAUAAAUGCCAGCCAACUCAAUGUUCUAUACUAAGCUUUGUUCCUCUGUAACCUUAUUGAACUCCACAUCUGAUGUCCAAAAGAACAAAUUUACAAAGGACCUCAAAUUCUUCAUAUAAUGUAAUAUAAAUGGA